GCUGUCUAUUAUUAAGACAGUAUCUCACUGGCCUUGAAAUUACGAUGAAAUGGCUUGGAACCUUGAUCCUUCUACCUCUGUCUCCUGAAUGCUGGGAUUACAGGUAAGUGCCUGUAACCAUACCAAACUAGAACAUUGAUAUCUUGAAUGUUCACUAAAGACUUCUUAUCAGCUUAUAGUCUUAAUGAGGGGAUAUAUAUAUAUAUAUAUUAUAUAUCCCUUAAGGAAGAUAUUGGGGGCCUGCCUCUUUCUAUUGCUUCUCCCUGCCGUGAGGUGAGCAGGCCUCUUCCUUAGCCACAAGUGCCCACCAUGAUGUAAUAAACCAUAGCCAAAGGAACGGAUGAAACAUGGACUUGGAAAACUGUGAGCUAAAGAAAUUCUCUGGUUAUUUAGGGCAUUUAUUAUAGUAACAGAAAGCUAACAUCUUUAUUUUUAAGAUUUUUUUUAGCAGAUAUGGAAUUUGUUUUCUUUAAUCAGAUAUUCUUUGCUUUGUAUGAUUUCUGAUGAAAAGUCGGCUGUUCUUUUAUGUGUGCUUGUGAAUGUAGAAUGUUUCUAACUGCUGCUGUAACACUCUGAAUGUACCCAAUUGUUGUGGAGCCUUAGGGUUUUAAUUGUAAGUAAGGAAAAAUAUUUGGCUGUCUCUUCAAGUUUCAUCCCUGUACUUUUCCUCUCCAGCUAUGCCCAGGCUAGACCAUGUCGUUAUUUCCCCACAGGCCACAUCAGUGAUUCUCAACCUCCUUUUCUUGUACUUGUUUGGUUCCUUCUGAUAAGUUAAAAUUCAUACAUCUUUCUAACCGUAUUGUCUAAUCUGUGUACUCCCAACCAGGGUAUAUUCUAGAAAUUCCACUUGCUGAGUUUAAGUAUUUUUCUCAGUAUGUUCACUUUCUUUUACAUCCUUGAAAAUAUAAUAGCUAUUUUUAAAGUCCUUA
This 929-nucleotide long non-coding RNA is filed under the name Mus musculus (house mouse). Its description in RNAcentral is "predicted gene, 44053". The record is from RNAcentral. Lineage: Eukaryota; Metazoa; Chordata; Mammalia; Rodentia; Muridae.